CUAGAAUAUGAACAAAGAGAGUAUUCUAAUCGUGUUUUUUUCUUUUCUUUUCUUUCUAGCGUUUCAAGAAGCCAAAUCUACCAAACUUGACAAACCUCUUCCUAGACAAACCUGAUCUCUGUUCAAAAAUCUCCAUAAAUAUCAACAAAGCAUUAAAUUUCCCGGAUAAGCCACGAACGAGGAGUAGAGACAAAAGCAAAGACAUAGGAAAGUCAGCCGGAGAGCAGCUGGAUACGGCUAUCAAAUCACUCGUCAAUCAGCUUGUUGACGAGGAUCCUGUCUUCGACGAUGUUCUCGCUGAAAUCAUAGAUCAAUUACCUACACCUGCUCCGGCACCUUCUUCUCCAAAUAAUACGCCAAAAGUCCAGGAAAUACCAAAGUCAGGAACAAUUCCUGAAAUUAAUCUUGCUCAUGGCGAUGUGUUGCCCACUGCGGACUUUGGAAAUGGUGUUUUGCCCCCAGCAGACUUACAACCCUCAUCACAAAAUGCCCAAAAUGAAAUUUGUCCAAGUAAUAUCUCCAGUCCACAAAAGACAGCAUCACUCACAAAAACCUGUAGCGCAUCAGAAAUCGGAGAGCUCCAAAAGCCUCCGGAAAAUAUAAUUCAAAUUCCGGAAACAAUCUCCAUGCAACCGGCAAGUGCAAUCUCCUCGCAAAUUCCUGCAAGCCACUUGCCAGAACAACUUUCAGUCAAUUACGCAGUGCAUUCUACUGAGUCUUCAACACCGCAGCUUUUAGAACUGACAAAUAUGAAACCAGCAGAGGUAUCAAGCACCCAGCCUCUAACGGUAUCAACAGUGGCGGCGACAGGGUCCAGUGCACAACCGGUAGAAUUGUCGAGGAUAUCGCCUUUGCAGGUGUCAAGCGUACAACCGGUGCAGGUGACAAAUUCACAGAGAGUGGAGUCAAGUAUCAUUGUCUUAGCGGAAGCUGCGAAUUUGGUUGAGUCACAACAGCUGGUGAUGCAGACCGCGGAUGGGUAUUACUCGUUCAUACCAACUAGUGCAGAAGUGAGCUCAACGAUGUCUUCAAAAAUCAUAACGAAUAAACAGCAUGGAACGCUGUUACAUCUCGGUGAGAUUCCAGCUAAAACUGAAUUUGUCAACAUCGCACCAAAGCCGGGGUCAACUAACUCCACCAAUUUUGUGACCGAGAUGCAGACUACUUUUCCACACUCAGCAAUGCCAGCUCGAAUGAAAAGAUCAAGAUCUUCCAAGGAACCACGCCAAUAUGCAAAGAAAAAGAAUGAGGCAACUGGAAAGCUUAAAGAACCACUUGUAGUUGAGGUUCGCAUUCUUGAUGCAGCAAAAGAUGCUCGUUUGGAGACGAGCUCUGAUAGCAAUGAAAAAGUCACAGCUGCUGAAUCAUACAGACAACUUGUUGAAGCAAUGUCAUUUGUGGGCGAUGAAAGAAGUGCAACGCCUAGGAAAACACCUGUAAAAAGCACUAACUUAAUUUCAGUUGAUUCUGCAAUAACUCCUUCUAAACUUGAUUUAGACCCAAACCAGACUAAACCUAAGGAAGAUAAAGAUAUUCCUGUUGAAAUUGCAAUAAAUCUAGAAACUGCACCUACGCCUGGUUCAAACCUACCCAAAAUCAAAACUGCAGAAAACACCACAACCACUGAGUCUGCAUCCAACUGUGGCGUCGAACCCAUUGAAAAUCGAAUCAAAGAAAAAUCUGCCCUGAAAACUACUGACGCUGUAUCUGCAGUUACAGUUCAGAUGAAAACAGCAAUAUCCUCUCCAAAAGAACCACCACAGAAAGCAAAGAAAAAGAAAGAGGUAGCUGCAGAAUUUCAAGAACCAGUUUCAGUUGAGGCUUGCAGCCUUGAUGCAGCGAAAGAUCCUUGUUUAGAGAUGAGCUCAGUCAACAAUGAUCCAGUCACAACUGCUGAAUCAUUCAGACAACCUGUUGAAUCGAUGUCAUCUGUGGGUGAUGAAAGAAGCGCUGUGCCUAGCAAAGCACCUUUAGAAAGUAUAAAUGCAGUUUUAAGUGAUACAGCAAUAACCGCAACUAAACCAGAUUUAGAUCUAGACCAGACUAAACCUAAAGAAGAUUUUGAUAUUCCUGUUGGAAUUGCAUUGAACCUCGCUGAAACAGAAUCUGCAGAAGACACCACAACAAUUGAGUCUCCUCCUAAAUGUGGACCAGAAACCACACUUGCACCUUCAUCGAACCUACCUGAUAUGGAAACUGCAGGAGACACCGAAAAAAUUAACUCUGCACCCAACUGUGGACCUGAAACUGCACUUGCGUCUGCAUCAAACCUGCCUGAAAUGAAAACUGCAGAAGACACCCCAAAAAUUGACUCUGCAUCCAAUUGUGCAGUCGUUUCCAUUGAAAAUCGAACUGAAAAAGAGUCUCCUCCAAAAAUGACUGAUACCGAUGUACUUGAUGAAAUCAACCUAAAGACUGACUCACAGAUUGAAUUUGCUACAAUCUCUCCCUUGCGAGUCCCUAACAACCAUCGACAGAGUUUAAGCACCCGCGACGAAAGAAAAAUCAUGUACGCGUCUUAGACUUUGGCACACCUCAAAAUUUCAAAGACUCGUUUCAGCGAAAAGCCAACACAUCACCAAAAGCACUAAAAUCAAGUGAACCACCCAGUGAACGCAUCAAAAGCAUUCGACGAGCAGAACUCUUUCAAUCGCCGGAAACAUCAUGGUAUUUGGCCACCACUCCGAUACAGUGAACCAUGAUAUUGUAAAGCCAGACACAAAUACGCCGCCCUCUGUCAGAUCAAUUAUGUCUCCACCAAGCUGUAUUAAAGAAGCAUCACCUCUCAGUUGCCAAGAGUCAGUUCCUCCACCUGAGCAGUCAAAGUUUACAAUUGCGACGCGGUCACCUCAGCCUAGACUUAGUGGUGGUUGGGACAAAAUUAAUGGACUGGGGCUCAUCGUAAGCUCCCCAAAGUCAAUCCCUUCUAAGAGCUGCGAUGAAGAUUCUAAUUCACUCAGCUGCUCAAAAUUGCUGGUCAACACUGUCAAACAAACACCGUUGAAGGAGUCCUGGGAUCACAAACUCCGGGCCAUGCUCCGAGGUGACUACGAAGAACCUGAGCCGCCAAAAAAGCAGACACAAUCAAAAAGCAGCCCUAAAAAAUCUAUUCCUAAAGCUAGCCCUAAAAAGUCUAAUCCUAAAACCAGCCCUAAAAAAUCUAAUCCUAAAACCAGCACAAUGUCAAAAGCCAAAGUAAGCCCAAAAAAACGCGGCCAAAAGAAAAAGAUCAAGAUCUCUCCAGUGAAGGUACCUCCUAAACCUUCAAGCUCGAGCGUUCCAGGUAGAUUAUUGUCAGCAAAAGAAAAGAAAAUAGAAAGAGAAAAUUUUCCAUGUGAGACAGAUUUGGAAGUCAGCCAAUCAAAAGUUUUGCAAGAGGCCAAGUCAGAAACAAUUUCUUCAACAGUAAUUGAUCAAAAACUUCUCCAAAAUCCAGUGAUCCAAAUUUGCAAGUCUAUUCAGCCUAAUAUGAUAAGUGAUGACAAGUCACUCGACAUAGGUAAACCUAUCAAAAAGUCCAAAUCUCAUCAAGACCAGGAGAAUACUACUGGUGUAUCACAAGAAAAAUCAGAGGAGACCUGUCAGCUUUCUGAGCAAUUGGAAAGCAGCCCGAAGAAAUACAAUCCUAAAACUAGGUUAAUGCCGAAAGUUAAAUUAAGCCCCAAAAAGAGCGGCAGAAAGAAAAACAUCAAGAUUUCUCCUAUGAAAAUAUCUCCUAGACCUUCUAGCUCUGUAAGUGAGGCAAAUACUAGUCCAAUGUUGAGCUCUUCAUCUUCAGAACUCCCUUUGGUAAAAACACUGACAGCGAAAGGAAAGAAAAUAGAAGAAGAAAAAUUUCCCCGUGAUGCAGAUUCAGAAGUCACUCAAUCUACAAUUUUGCAAGAAACCAAGUCAGAAAAAAUUGCAGAAACUAAUCCUCAGAUACCCAGGUCUAUUCGAUCCAAUAGGACCAAGAAGUUACCUGAUGCAAGUAAAUUUAUCAAAAUGUCAGGACAAGACCAAGACCAGAAGAAUGUAGUCUCAGUAUCACUGGAAAAAUUAGAAGAGAGCUGUCAGUUUGCGGAGCUAAAAAAGCAGACCAAAUCAAGAGUGCGAUCUAAAAAUUCUAACCUUAAAACCAUCACAGUGCCAAAAGCCAUAUCAAGCCCCAAGACACGCAGCCAAAAGAAAAACAUCCAGAUCCCUCCGGAGAAAACAUCUCUCACACCUAC
RNAcentral lists this long non-coding RNA (4211 nucleotides) under Bemisia tabaci. RNAcentral's name for it is "lncRNA ENSASIAIIG001413". Lineage: Eukaryota; Metazoa; Arthropoda; Insecta; Hemiptera; Aleyrodidae. The record is from RNAcentral.